RNAcentral lists this ribosomal RNA (547 nucleotides) under uncultured bacterium. Its description in RNAcentral is "bacterial SSU rRNA". It matches the Rfam family "Bacterial small subunit ribosomal RNA", at positions 355 to 896 of the family's 1533-position model. The record is from RNAcentral.
UGGGGAAUAUUGCGCAAUGGGGGGAACCCUGACGCAGCCAUGCCGCGUGAAUGAAGAAGGCCUUCGGGUUGUAAAGUUCUUUCGGUAUUGAGGAAGGUUGAUGUGUUAAUAGCACAUCAAAUUGACGUUAAAUACAGAAGAAGCACCGGCUAACUCCGUGCCAGCAGCCGCGGUAAUACGGAGGGUGCGAGCGUUAAUCGGAAUAACUGGGCGUAAAGGGCACGCAGGCGGUUAUUUAAGUGAGGUGUGAAAGCCCUGGGCUUAACCUAGGGAUUGCAUUUCAGACUGGGUAACUAGAGUACUUUAGGGAGGGGUAGAAUUCCACGUGUAGCGGUGAAAUGCGUAGAGAUGUGGAGGAAUACCGAAGGCGAAGGCAGCCCCUUGGGAAUGUACUGACGCUCAUGUGCGAAAGCGUGGGGAGCAAACAGGAUUAGAUACCCUGGUAGUCCACGCUGUAAACGCUGUCGAUUUGGGGGUUGGGGUUUAACUCUGGCGCCCGUAGCUAACGUGAUAAAUCGACCGCCUGGGGAGUACGGCCGCAAGGUUA